Molecule: long non-coding RNA, 1086 nt
Filed under: Equus caballus (horse)
Lineage: Eukaryota; Metazoa; Chordata; Mammalia; Perissodactyla; Equidae
Description: lncRNA (ENSECAG00000054138.1)
Source: RNAcentral
CCCACAUCAGAGGUGGCAGAGAAUAAUGGAAAAGAAAGAAUAUCUCCGAGGGCACAGCUUGCAGCCAUGGAGUACAAUGGAUGAAAGAACUCCUUUCAAGGCUCACAAUUAAGGCCUCACCACCCCCAGGUCUAGUGGCGCCUUCACCUCUUCUUCCCAGUGGGAUUUCAUCUUUGCUGUGUGUCCCUAAUCUUCUUCUUUCCAAGUGGGAAUGUGUAUUGUGGUUGUCCUGCCCCCUUCCACCAGUGUAUGUCCAGUGGAGGGGGAAAGUUCAUACAGUUUCCUUUCAGUUCAUAGAUCACCUGAUCAAGAAGAAUUUCAUGCGAACCUGGCAGAGAGGCCCUUGUGUUCCGUAGAGCUUGAUAUAGUGACUGGAUUGGACUCUGGCGUGUCUCCCCUGAGGCAGUGGCAAGAAGACAAGCAGGGAAAGAUGUCCUCGAGUUUUGUCAGUAUGCCUGGGUGCCAUCUUUGCUCUUCUCCAAAGACAGAACAACAAUCACUUCACCCUGGGUCAACAGUGGUCAAUCAGCAGAGAUAAAUAUUCCCUGAGAAGUGCAGAGGUGCUGCGGGAGAGCCCCGGCAGGAUCUCAUGGCUGCACUACUCCAUAAAGACUCAGUGUUGUACUUCGGAAACUCAAGCUCUUCGACUGGCACAUGCUAAAGCUGAUAGGUGGAAGGAACCGUAAUCCAAGGGUGCUAAGAGUUCUGCCCACAUCCUGUGCCCUCUCAGCAGUGGCUCUCAAAGGGAAAACUCAAAAUCGACUCAGUGAAGCUGGUGCUUCAGCAGAUUCCAGGCCCAGAGUCCGCCUCGCGUGUAUGCCGCUCACAGUAGCCAUGAUUUGCAUCAAGUAGCAUCAUACCUUGGAUUUGUUUUAGACCAUGGAGCAACCUCAGCUCAUUACCAGCAAGAAAACUGUGACUCUGGUGCCGUGCUUGACCACAGCUGCAGUGGACUUCCAGGCUCCAUUAACUCCGCAGCCCCCAGGACCCUUCCGUGACAGCCUGUGCGGCUACAUCAAGUGGCUCUUCACUGAACUCCUGAGAGCCUAAGGAUCUGUGAAGAAUGUUGGACAAAAUAAAAGGAUG